CUUCACCGACCCCAACAACAGCGGCCGCUCACGGUCCCGGCCAUAUGUCGCCAGCAGCGCCUGCGCCUC
Molecule: antisense RNA, 69 nt
Filed under: Kibdelosporangium aridum
Lineage: Bacteria; Bacillati; Actinomycetota; Actinomycetes; Pseudonocardiales; Pseudonocardiaceae
Description: ASpks TB sRNA
Rfam family: ASpks TB sRNA
Source: Rfam by way of RNAcentral